This is a long non-coding RNA of Pelobates fuscus (common spadefoot toad), 606 nucleotides long. RefSeq lists it as uncharacterized. Lineage: Eukaryota; Metazoa; Chordata; Amphibia; Anura; Pelobatidae. The transcript is spliced from 3 exons. The record is from RefSeq and is a predicted model, not a curated record.
CGCGUGUUACUGGUUUCUGCUGUUCCCAGAAGAGAGGGUCUCUCCGAAUGACUGCCUGAGUUCUCCCCAGUCAUGUGUGGCAAGGAGACAACCAAGCUUCUCUAAUGACAAGAAAGCCAAGAUCUCAGAGGCGUCUGUUGAAAAUUCUAACUCACUUUUGGGAUUGGCUACUUGGGCCCAUCAGAAAUGUGGACACUUGGGAGAGAAAGCCACUCACAGGCGAAGCUCAUUGGUCCGGCUGUUAUUGUGAUGACUGUGCUUACUCUACACCCUUUGGUCGGCUCAGAUACCAACAAUGAGAUUGGAGGUUGGGACCAGAGUGAUUCCGCAGAGAUGAGAUGGAAAAAGAUCGAAAUAAGAGUAACCUGCCUGACCAUUAACUGUCCAAACAUGAGAGCGAACCUCUAUGGAGAAGGCUAUUUUAGCCACAAUGAAACUGAGUCAAUGACCUAUAUUAAGUUACCAAAUGAAUCAUUUGGUUUGUUAACGUUAGAAUCUACAACGCCCUUUGGCUGCCGCAUACUGUAUACGCCUGUAAGCUCUAAUAUUUCUUCAGAAGAACUUACCCAAUAUUGGGUAAGUUAUGCAAACCAGCAGAGCACAAAG